This 75-nucleotide transfer RNA is filed under the name bacterium. RNAcentral's name for it is "tRNA-OTHER". It matches the Rfam family "tRNA". From Rfam's summary of the family: Transfer RNA (tRNA) molecules are approximately 80 nucleotides in length. The record is from RNAcentral. RNAcentral also lists the same sequence under 1 other name.
CGGGGUGUGGCUCAAUAGGUGGAGUGCCGGAGUGCAACCCGGAGAUCGGAGGUUCGAGUCCUCCCAUCCCGACCA